This 74-nucleotide transfer RNA is filed under the name Camelus bactrianus (Bactrian camel). It matches the Rfam family "tRNA". Rfam says of the family: Transfer RNA (tRNA) molecules are approximately 80 nucleotides in length. The record is from Rfam by way of RNAcentral. Lineage: Eukaryota; Metazoa; Chordata; Mammalia; Artiodactyla; Camelidae. RNAcentral also lists the same sequence under 1 other name.
GAGGGUGUAGCUCAGUGGUUAAGAGUGUGUGCUUAGCAUGCACGAGGUCCUGGGUUCAAUCCCCGGUACUUCCA